UGCAUCUCCGAACAUGGCGUCUGAAGAGACCAGUAAUCUAUAUAAAAGUAGUUCUCGCAAGGUGGUGGAUGACUCCCUGGAUCCUCUUUCAAAGGAAGCAGCAGAUGAUGCUAGUACACAAUUGAUAUCCUCACUGGAAAGCAGUUGUGAUGAUGUGAACUCUUUAAUUAGUCCACCCGGGAUGUUCUCUUGUAAUUCUGCCACGGUAUGAUGUAGUACUCCCUUUUGUUAUCAUAAUUUGCAGAGUGUUUAUAUUUUGUAGCAGCUUUGGAAAUUAAAAUGUUUUCUCUUUUGGUAAAAGCCAACACAUGUGCUGAAAUUGGAUGAGAUCCUGACAGAAUCCCCAGAAACUAAAGCACCUUCUCAGAGGAGAUGUAGAUGUCAGAAUCUACCAACAUCUCAAACCACAGCACAAACUGAGAUUGAGACCAACCAGACACUAUCUGUGCAGGAAACAGUUGGUCCUGAAAGCCACUCAAGCCUUGAAGACAGUGAGAGGGAAGCCCAUCCUGGGCCUGAUGGCAUGAUAUCAACAGCCAUUGUUCCAGGGUCUGAAGAUAUGAGAGAUGAGAGUCACCUGAAGUGGGAAUGUCCUCUCAGAACAGAACUCCAGAGGAAUGAGGACUCUGUUGUUGACCCUCCAGUACACAGUACAUUCAUAAAGGAGUCUGAGGGGAACAACGAAGCUGGUUAUGAGGGUAUUUCACACAUAGUGUUGGCUGAUGCCUUCGUACUCUCAUCAGAAGAAAUGAAGGAUGUUUUUAAUAAGGAAAAAGAAAGCCUUUAUGAUAGUGAGCUCCAAAUACCUGAGGGCUUAUCUGUAUGUCUGACAGAGAGUGAGAAAUCUGUUCAUUCAGUUAUUGACCAAGAGGAAAUAAUGGCAGAUAUUUCUAAAAAUCCUGAUACUUGCAGAGAGAGAUGUGUGUCAUCAUCUGCAUUUCAAGAGAACACUAUGCCCUCUAGGAGAGGCAAGUUGCAAGUGAAGCCUAAAAUCCCCAAAACAACAUCUACUGAAGACGAUUGCUCUAGACAGAAGCUAUCUGACUUUGGGUAUAAUGAUCCAGCCACAACUCAAAUAAUUUCACCAGAACCUCUGAUUAAAGAAGAAUCCAGUAAAGUGGAACAGAGAUCUGAGCAAGAAGUUUUCUCUGAUAUUCCAAAGGAGGAAUUAGACGGAGAGCCUGCUGGGAUUGCUUCAUCCUCACAACUUCAACAGCUUAUACCAUUCAGCACUGUAAAAUCAACAGCAUGCACUGAAUUGCAUCCAGUGGAACUGAAAACAGAGGGUAGGCAUGAGGAUGCGUCACAUGUGGUGUUGCCUGAUAUAUUGGUGCCGGUUUCUGCUGAAAUGGAAAAUGGUGAUCAUAUGGCGAGUGGAAGUUCUGUCCAAAGCAGUCUCCAAAUGGGUGAAGAGAGCCAGCAGGUUGUCGCUGCAGAAGCAGACCAGGAGGUGCUUUCGCAUGAGGGUGUUUCACACAUGCUGCUGACUGAUAUGUUGAUCCCCGUCUGUGAGAAAAUGGAAGAUGAUUUAAACAAGGAACGGACUACAGCUGGAGAGAAAAGCCCUCAUGAGGAAGGAAGAUCUCAGGUAAGAGAGGAUCCAGAUACCGCAGACCUGUUCUGUCAAGUGUCACAAUCAUCAAAUGUGGGACCAUCAGUAUCACCCAAGAGGAAAAGACCCACUCGGAGGAAAGGCAAGUUAUUGGUAAAGAUGACGUUUCCCAAAAGAAAGACUGGAGAUUCCCCUAAGAGUGGCGAGCAAUCACAAACCGUUCCUCUGUCAAUCUUCAUCUCGGAGUCAACACAGUGCAGUGCUGAGACAUGUGCUCACUUCCUGCCCACUGGCUCGCAGGACCAUGAGGAAGCAUCUGGGGGUGUUUCACACAUUGUGCUGUCUGAUAUUUUGGUGCCUGUAUUGGAUGAGACCGCUGAAUGCAGCCAUCACAAAGACCCCUUAUCUGCUGGUCUUCAAGAAGUUGAGAAGUCAACAGAUAUUGAGAGACCAACAAAUACUGAAAUGGAAGAGAUGACCUCAAGUCAAUCUGUGGCAGUGGAAUGGAAAACACCUUGCUGUAGAAGAGGCACACUGCGUCCAAUGCCUAAACUGUCAAAAAGAAAAGAUGAUCCUUCAGAAAAUGACCUCGGUCAGCCCAGCUCUACGCAGACCUCUUUAGCUACACCUCAGCAGUCCCUGGACCCUCAAGCUGCGGAAUGGUCUCUCAGAAGCAAUAUGCUGCCCGUGGACUCAGAUGAGAUGGAGAACUGGUGUGAAGGAGUUUCCCACAUGUUGCUGUCAGAUGCAUUUGUGCCCGUUUCUGAAGAGACUGGAGAGAACAGCACAGAUCUAAAAGUGUUUGUCUUAAGCAGUCCUCAUAAGAAUGAGCAAACCACGCUUAGUCCGACAAAGAGUGAGGAGACAACCUCUGAAAUUUCAAGUGAUGUACACCAAUUAGACACUACUUCUGACAUGAGAAAAUCAAAUGAGAGUCUGCCAGCAUCACAAGCAAAAAAAUCACCAGCAAGAAGUACAUUUCAGAUGACACUAAGGUCACCUGAAAGACGCCUUAAAGAUCAACCUGGUAUGCUGAAGUCAAUCCAAGCUGCCCCGACAGCACCUCAGCAAACUCCAACAUCAAAAGUGAAAGAGUCCAUGGGAACUCCAACAAGACAACAAACAGAAGAGAUCUCAAGUGCAUGCUGGGUACAGUUAGAAAGGUUAUCUGUAGAGGAAAUCUGCAGUGCUCAAAGUGUCCUGCAACCAAAGCACCACAGCACACCUGUCACUGUAAAACCCACUUCUAGAGGGAAUGAGAUGGACAAGGCAUCUCUGGCUUUGCAUGGAAGCAGAAGCUCUGGUUUAGGAUCACCCAUGCCGCCAGGUUACUCGCCAAGGGUUGUCCUUCAUCGUAUACCAUUAAAAGCUACUGAUGAGAACAUUUCUACACAUACUUCGUCCCCAACUAGAGUGUCCACCACACCCUCCCGAACACAGGCUCAUCAGUCUCCUCAAAACAGCCCUCCCGUCUCCAGUUUGGAUGCUGAUGAGAUUCCUGAUCAAGUGUCCCACAUCUUACUGCAUGACAUCUUCACUGAAGUUGUGGAUCCGGAUUGACUUUUAUUUGGGUUGUUUUGGUUCAGUUUCACUGCUGCUAUUCCAGUUCAUUGCACUAAAGUGGACGAUGUGUAACACUGUUACACUGCUAAUUUUAGACCUGUUAGUAAUUGUAAUAUAGUUCCUCUAAUUAAAUUUUGUUCAUGAAGGGAACAUUUAUAAAUAUUAUAUACAUUACUGUUAUGAGGCCUUUGCCCUUUUUUGGUGAUGAGCCAUGCGGUGAUACUGGUUAAGUCACAGUUAUUUAUUUCUAUUUAUUUAACGCUGAACAUCGAAACACUUUUAUCAGUGUGUUUUUACUGAGUGAUCUUGUUUUGUUCUGUGCAAAUAUAUUUGUUUUUAUGGUUACUGUAUGUUACUUUCAUUUGUUUUUCUUUCUGAGGGCAAAGCCCUUUUUGUGGGUUAUACCUUUCUCCAGUGAGAAUAUAUUAUAAAGAAUGUUUAUGAAUAAUUAGAUAUUGUUAGUUGUAUUUGCAAUUUGUGGUACAGUCUGGAUAUUACAGCACUGGAGAAAUUAUAAGUAAAUAAAUGAAUAAUCACUUUCUCCA
This is a long non-coding RNA of Cyprinus carpio (common carp), 3660 nucleotides long. NCBI's taxonomy places the organism in Eukaryota, Metazoa, Chordata, Actinopteri, Cypriniformes, Cyprinidae. The record is from Ensembl.